GUACCUGGUGGCGAGCGGCGGACGGGUGAGUAAUGCCUAGGAAUCUGCCUGGUAGUGGGGGAUAACGCUCGGAAACGGACGCUAAUACCGCAUACGUCCUACGGGAGAAAGCAGGGGACCUUCGGGCCUUGCGCUAUCAGAUGAGCCUAGGUCGGAUUAGCUAGUUGGUGAGGUAAUGGCUCACCAAGGCGACGAUCCGUAACUGGUCUGAGAGGAUGAUCAGUCACACUGGAACUGAGACACGGUCCAGACUCCUACGGGAGGCAGCAGUGGGGAAUAUUGGACAAUGGGCGAAAGCCUGAUCCAGCCAUGCCGCGUGUGUGAAGAAGGUCUUCGGAUUGUAAAGCACUUUAAGUUGGGAGGAAGGGCAKUUACCUAAUACGUAWSUGUUUUGACGUUACCGACAGAAUAAGCACCGGCUAACUCUGUGCCAGCAGCCGCGGUAAUACAGAGGGUGCAAGCGUUAAUCGGAAUUACUGGGCGUAAAGCGCGCGUAGGUGGUUCGUUAAGUUGGAUGUGAAAUCCCCGGGCUCAACCUGGGAACUGCAUUCAAAACUGACGAGCUAGAGU
RNAcentral lists this ribosomal RNA (570 nucleotides) under Pseudomonas mandelii. RNAcentral describes it as "bacterial SSU rRNA". The record is from RNAcentral. Lineage: Bacteria; Pseudomonadati; Pseudomonadota; Gammaproteobacteria; Pseudomonadales; Pseudomonadaceae.